Molecule: transfer RNA, 77 nt
Filed under: endosymbiont 'TC1' of Trimyema compressum
Lineage: Bacteria; Bacillati; Bacillota
Description: tRNA-Arg
Rfam family: tRNA
About the family: Transfer RNA (tRNA) molecules are approximately 80 nucleotides in length.
Source: RNAcentral
GUGCCAGUAGCUCAGUUGGAUAGAGCAACGGACUUCUAAUCCGUAGGUCGGGGGUUCGAAUCCCUCCUGGCACGCCA